RNAcentral lists this ribosomal RNA (253 nucleotides) under uncultured bacterium. RNAcentral's name for it is "partial 16S ribosomal RNA". It matches the Rfam family "Bacterial small subunit ribosomal RNA", at positions 524 to 776 of the family's 1533-position model. The record is from RNAcentral.
UACAGAGGGUGCAAGCGUUAAUCGGAAUUACUGGGCGUAAAGCGCACGUAGGCGGUUUUUUAAGUCAGAUGUGAAAGCCCCGGGCUCAACCUGGGAAUUGCAUUUGAAACUGGGAAACUAGAGUGUGUGAGAGGGGGGUAGAAUUCAAAGUGUAGCGGUGAAAUGCGUAGAGAUUUGGAGGAAUACCAGUGGCGAAGGCGGCCCCCUGGCACAACACUGACGCUCAGGUGCGAAAGCGUGGGGAGCAAACAGG